Alexandromys fortis (reed vole) is the source of this 104-nucleotide small nuclear RNA. NCBI's taxonomy places the organism in Eukaryota, Metazoa, Chordata, Mammalia, Rodentia, Cricetidae. The record is from RefSeq and is a predicted model, not a curated record.
GUGCUCAGGUCAGCGGCACAUAUACUAAAAUUGGAAUGACACAGAGAGUAGCAUGGCCCCCGAGCAAGGAUGACACACAAAUUUGUGAAGGGUCCAUAUUUUUA